AACGAACGCUGGCGGCAGGCCUAACACAUGCAAGUCGAGCGAGACCUUCGGGUCUAGCGGCGGACGGGUUAGUAACGCGUGGGAACGUGCCCUUCUCUGCGGAAUAGCCACUGGAAACGGUGAGUAAUACCGCAUACGCCCUUCGGGGGAAAGAUUUAUCGGAGAAGGAUCGGCCCGCGUUAGAUUAGAUUGUUGGUGGGUAACGGCCUACCAAGUCUACGAUCUAUAGCUGGUUUUAGAGGAUGAUCAGCAACACUGGGACUGAGACACGGCCCAGACUCCUACGGGAGGCAGCAGUGGGGAAUCUUAGACAAUGGGCGCAAGCCUGAUCUAGCCAUGCCGCGUGUGUGAUGAAGGUCUUAGGAUCGUAAAGCACUUUCGCCAGGGAUGAUAAUGACAGUACCUGGUAAAGAAACCCCGGCUAACUCCGUG
RNAcentral lists this ribosomal RNA (432 nucleotides) under uncultured bacterium. RNAcentral's name for it is "bacterial SSU rRNA". It matches the Rfam family "Bacterial small subunit ribosomal RNA", at positions 29 to 507 of the family's 1533-position model. The record is from RNAcentral.